This 460-nucleotide ribosomal RNA is filed under the name uncultured bacterium. RNAcentral's name for it is "partial 16S ribosomal RNA". It matches the Rfam family "Bacterial small subunit ribosomal RNA", at positions 338 to 795 of the family's 1533-position model. The record is from RNAcentral.
CCUACGGGAGGCAGCAGUGAGGAAUAUUGGUCAAUGGACGCAAGUCUGAACCAGCCAGGACGCGUGCAGGAAGAAGGCGCUAUGAGAUGUAAACUGCGUUUGUACGAGGGUAAACGCAGAUACGCGUAUCUGUCUGAAUGUAUCGUACGAAUAAGGAUCGGCUAACUCCGUGCCAGCAGCCGCGGUAAUACGGAGGAUUCAAGCGUUAUCCGGAUUUAUUGGGUUUAAAGGGUGCGUAGGCGGUCGGAUAAGUUAGAGGUGAAAUCCCGAGGCUCAACUUCGGAAUUGCCUCUGAUACUGUUCGGCUAGAGUGUAGUUGCGGUAGGCGGAAUGUCUGGUGUAGCGGUGAAAUGCUUAGAGAUCAUGCAGAACACCGAUUGCGAAGGCAGCUUACCACGCUACUUCUGACGUUGAGGCACGAAAGCGUGGGUAGCAAACAGGAUUAGAUACCCGGGUAGUC